GAGUUUCGCCGCCGAAGAGAAGGUCCGCGGAAGUCGCUCUCUCCGAAUAAUUCGAUAUAAUUUUUCAAAAUCAACUAUUUCUGUCAAAAACAUGGAGUUUUGAAGAAAAAGUAUUGAAAUUGGACUGUUGACAACCAAAGAUGAGUAUCAGCAUUUCUGAAUUCUUUAGAUGUUUGUUACCGAACAAGAAGUUUUAAAGAAAAUUGAGAAAAAAUCCGGAGAAUAAAGAACAAGUUAAGGAGACUUCAAAUGAGAGCAUAAGAACACUCUAACAGACAUACAAGGUUUUGCUGUGUUGUGCGCUUCUAAUAACAACAAUGGGAAGGCAGUUAAGCCAGUUUGGUCUCCUGUUAUGGAAGAACUUCAUUCUUCAGUUUCGGAGGCCAGUUGGAACAACCUUUGAGAUUCUGGUUCCUGUAGCCUGUGCAUCGUUACUCCUAUUAGCAAGGUACAGUACAUGUACAAUCUAGGCAAAGUAAUUUUCCCCUUAUAGACUAGAGCCAUUCUGGAAAAAGAGGCCUAUAUAAACUUCUAGAGGAAUUUUGGGGUCAAAGUUUGGGACUGAUCUAUUUCCCACAAUUCAAAUGUGCUGAAUCUGAUUAGAGUGGUUCCCAAGCUGAUUUCUCAUGUUUUAACCACCUAAUUUGCAUAAACAAAAUGGCUGCCAAAUUGACCAUUCAGAAUCUUAUUUCUACAAUAUUCUCUUAUAAUAUUCAAUUUCACAGACAUGGAUACUGCAAUAUCAUGUAUGUACAUAACAAGUACCAUUCGGGAAAAUUUGUUGAUUCUGUUUGCAGUUAAUUAAUUAUCCAAAUUUAUGUAUAUUUUGCAAUAUUAUGCUAUAAUUUGAUCAUUUCACCUCACACGUUUUUAAUUUUUGGUAAAAAUAAUAUUUUCAUUAUUAUGAAUAAUUGUAUUGCCCUUAAAAUAUAAUAUCACAGUCAAUGUUUAUGUAUUUGAUUGGUUUUUUAUUAUGUAUUUCUUUGUAUUUUCUAUCAUUUGUUUGGUACGUGGUUUGUUAUGCGAUCUGUCAAAGUAUUGAUUAUCAAAUGGCGCGUUUCUAUAGAGAAUGGUUAAAAACUGUUUAUCUUUUUCAGAAUGAAAAAAACGUAUUGCCCUUAAACCAACCUGUGUCUACAGAGCGAAUAAUCCGAUUAUCUCACAUUGUGCGUCACUGGACACGGCAAUAACCACCUCCCAGAGGUUGUUAUGAAAAACCAUAUUUUGCAACAGAGAAGUUUUCCGGAAUUCUGGAUAAUUAUGCGGGUAAUACCGUUUAACGAGUCUCUGAAGAAACACACCAAAAGACAGAAAAAUGAUUGGCUUCAAAGAUUUAAUUAUUUUAUCAAGCUUUUUGUUAAACUUUUAAUUUGUAUAUAUAUCCAUGGACAUACACACAUGCACCCACUCCCACACCCGCAUCUGCAUACAAAGUAAAAUGCUUACACGGUGGACCUUCCCAUUUAAAAGCAUACUGGUGGUGAUCUAACGAAUUUCACGAACCUGUCUGUAUUCAAAGCGAAUGUGUUUUUUGAUUUGCUUCAAUUUCAAUUAUAAAAUGAUUUAUUGAAUUAUGAGAUUAACCAAUUCAUUUAUAUUUAGAAUUUUAGAUGAUUAAUAAUAAUAAUAAUACAUGAGAUUUGUAAAGCGCACUUUCCAUCGUUAUUAGAUGCUCAAGGCGCUUCAGAGCAGAACAACAAACACUAUUUACAUAUAAUACAUAUAAUACAUGUCUGAACAAUAAGUCAAUGUCUAUCAAAAAACACUCUUAUACAGGUAUGUUUUCAGGUUGCCCUUAAAGGUGGUCACUGAAGUCUGGGUUUUCAAACUCUGUGGGAGGCCCUGCAUGAGCAAAGGCCCAUCCCCCCCGCAUGAUUUCUUAGCAACUGGAAUUUGUAAGAGAUUAGAUGAUGAGGAUUGUAAAUUUCUUGAGGGUUGGUAAUUAUGCAUCAAAGACGUAAUAGGGCCGUCUGCACCAUCCUGAGUUUUCAAAUUAGCGCUCUAUUUCUGAUCCGGCCAAUUAUCCUGAUCUGAACAAUCUCGAGAUUAUUUGCAAUGGAGACGCAAUUAUCGCGCUAGUUCGUAGGAUUAAUCUCGAGAUUGCAAUCCCAAGUCAACUUGGGAUUAUUUGCAAAAUAUUGCGCUAUUUUACGAAUUAUCGCGCUAAUUCGUAGGUGCAGACGCACUCGGGAUUAUUUAUUCACAGCGUCAGACCAUAAUGCAGCGAUGCCUCGCUCGAGCAGGAAUCGCUCUUCUUGCGAUGGUGGAGACAGGGUUUCUUGAAUCGCGAAGAGGGCCUAUCGGGCUAAAAUCUCGAGAUUGAGCAAACUCGGGAUGGUGCAGCACCGCCUAUUGUAACUGGGGGAAGUUCCAUUGACUAUAUGAAAAAUCAAAAGGAUUUUAAAGACUAUGCGUUUCUUCAGUGGCAAUCAGUGAAGAGUUUUUAAUAUAGGGGUGAUGUGGCUGCGCUUGCUAGAUAGAGUUACAAUACGAGCAGCUGCAUUUUGCAACCUUUGCAAUUUCCCAAGUUGAGAAUCUGGUAAGUUGUAAAGGAGGCUAUUACCAAAAUCGAAUCGUGGAGAAAUUAGUGAAUGUACCAGUUUCUCUGUUGCUGAGCGAGUGAGAUAUUUUCUUAUGAAGCCAAUAUUGCGCAAUUGAUAACAAACUGACCUGCAAAUGCUUGUAAUCUGGUUGGACAUGGACAAGUGAGAAUAAAAAAUAACUCAAAAAUUACGACAUGAUUUUGACAAGGUGAUGUCAUUGCCUGAGAUAGAAAUGGAAUCAAUGUUGAAUUUGUUAAGUUGAAACUUUGAGCCAAAAACUAAAAACUCACAUUUUAAUACUAUGGUUCAAAAGUAGCGAGUUUGACUUCAACCAAGUGUCAAUGUCCAUUAUGCAUCUUUCAAGAUUACACAGGGCUUGUGUGGCACUAGUUUGAUUUGGUAAAAAUGAUAUGAAAAUCUGGAUAUCAUCUGCAUAUAAAUGAUAGUGAACAGAGUGACGUUUAAAAAUAUCUUGAAGCCCUGUCAAAUAAAUUGGAAAACAAAGUGGGCGGCAGAGCGAAUUUGAAAGUGGGCGCACAGGGAAAAAGGGCACAUUUUUUUUCGAAAGAGGCACUAUUUUAAUACUAAGAAAACAAAUUACUUAUUUAAAGCGGCGUAAUGAGCCAAAUAUUUUUAGGCAGCUAGAUACAUGUAUGUCGUAUCACGUUAAAUUUAUAAGAAGUUGCGAGCAAGUGAAGCGAAAGAGCAAAAAUGUUGACAUUUUUAUAACGAAAAUCCAACUUUGUGAUAGAUUUUGACAUAAUAUUCAGAAAAUAAUCAUAUUUCACCCAUCUCUCUUUCUUAGGCUCAUAUAAUUUGGUGUGUAUGAUACUAGCAUGGAUCCCAGGAAGCAUAUUGAUUUUGAGGUCAAAAGGUCAAAGUCACAGUGACAUAUUUUCAUCUUACCUUCUGCAGUCUUUGUAAACGCGAUAACUUUAGUUUAACUUAACCUAGGCUCAUACUUUUUGGUGUGUAUGUUACUAGAUCCAAUCCAAAGAAGCCUAUGUAUUUUGAGGUCAAAAGGUCAAAGGUCAAGAUUACAGUGACAUGUUUUCAUCUUACCCAAGUUCGUAAUUCCUUGUAAACGCGAUAAUUUUAGUUUAACUUAACGUAGGCUCAUAUAAUUUGUUGUUAUGACACUAGCAUGGAUCCCAGGAAGCCUAUUGAGUUUGAGGUCCAAAGGUCAAGGUCACAUUGACAUGUUUUCAUCUUACCCUUCUGAAGUCUUUGUAAACGUGAUAACUUCAGUAUAACCACUUGACUGCGUAGCACGUAAUAUUACGUGCUGGGCGAGUGUACGAUCUGUGCGGGGCACGUAAUAUUACGUGCUUGACCUAUCUUCUGUUUGAGGCCUCAGGCACCAUGCUGUUAAUACCCCUACGAUGAAAACAGCGCAUGUAUAUCAAAUUUCAGACUAUGGUCACCAGAUGGCGCUAUUCAACAAAAGUUAUCAAAACUUUUGCAGUGAUUUAUAAAUGUUUGUAUUCACUUUUCCAUAGUGAUAGUGUACGGCGCUCAGUUCAAAAUGGCAACUCGCAGUGGAGAAGUGAAUCGGAAGGAUUUUGAGGAAAGUUUAGACGAUAGGAGUAAUAAAUUUAGUGAAAGAUCUGUGUCAGAAGGGGAGGGUGAUUUUUUGUAUGGAUAUUGGAAAUAGUGAUGAGGAAAGUGAUGUGAUUAUUUACAAUUCUCCUCCAAGUUGCUGUCGGUUGUAGUCCAAAGUAGAUCUACAUGUAACUUGUUAGUCCCAUUCUGUAGCACCAGGGGGGUCAGUGCGCAUUACAGCCUAUAGCAGUCAAGUGGUUAACUAAACCUAGGCUCAUAUAAUUUGGUGCAUAUGAUACUAGCAUGGAUCCCAGGAAGCCUAUGGAUUUUGAGGUCAAAGGUCAAGGUCACAGUGACAUGUUUAUCUUACCCUUCUGUAGUCCUUGUAAAUGCUAUAACUUCAGUUUAACCUAACCUAGGUUCAUACUAUUUGGUGUGUUAUUGAUACUAGCAUGGAUCCCAGUCAACUUUGGUGAAAAAUAAAAUUCUUCUUAUCAUCCUCUUGCUCUCUUUCUUUUUCUCCGUUUCCCUUUCCUCUUUUUUGUUGUUGUAAUCUCUCUCUUUCUCCUUUCAUUUUGUCUCGCCUGCAUAGCAGAGCGAGACUAUAGGCGCCGCUUUUCCAACAGCGGCGACUGCGGCGUCGUCAACAUUGAAAUCUUAACCAAGGUUAAGUUUUUGAAGUGUCAUCAUAACUUAGUAAGUAUAUGGACCUAGUUCAUAAAACUUGGACAUAAAGGUAAUCAAGUAUUACUGAACAUCCUGCCUGAGUUUCAGGUCACAUGACCAAGGUCAAAGGUCAUUUAGGGUCAAUGAACUUAGACCAUGUUGGGGGAAUCAAUAUCAAAAUCUUAACCAAGGUUAAAGGAGAAUGAAACCCUUGAAACCAGCUGAAUCCAUAUC
Molecule: long non-coding RNA, 4985 nt
Organism: Lytechinus pictus (painted urchin)
Lineage: Eukaryota; Metazoa; Echinodermata; Echinoidea; Temnopleuroida; Toxopneustidae
Exons: 3
Source: RefSeq, a predicted model, not a curated record